UACAGAGGUCUCAAGCGUUGUCCGGAUUUAUUGGGCGUAAAGAGCGUGUAGGCGGUUUGGUAGGUCCGCUGUGAAAACUCGAGGCUCAACCUCGAGACGCCGGUGGAAACCAUCAGGCUAGAGUCCGGAAGAGGAGAGUGGAAUUCCUGGUGUAGCGGUGAAAUGCGCAGAUAUCAGGAAGAACACCCGUGGCUAAGGCGGCUCUCUAGUACGGUACUGACGCUGAGACGCGAAAGCGUGGGGAGCGAACAGG
Molecule: ribosomal RNA, 253 nt
Filed under: uncultured bacterium
Lineage: Bacteria
Description: partial 16S ribosomal RNA
Rfam family: Bacterial small subunit ribosomal RNA
Source: RNAcentral